UCAAAGUGCUGGGAUUACAGGUGUGAGCCACCAUGCCCAGCCUCAAUGUACAAUUUUUGUAAAAGCUACUUAUCCGUUAUCUGCUCCUUUCUGCCACCCUACCUCACAAUGACUCUCUCUUCAAGGUCCCAUUUCUCAGACCCAAACUACAGUACUACUUCUUAUGCAUAAACUUUCUAAGACUGCGAGCACCAAAACCUCCUCGUUCCUCUCUUCCCCAAUCAAAAACUGCAGGUACGCCAGACAGGAGGCUGUUAGCCGUGGAGAGAACUCUAUUUAUUUUUCAGUUUCUUUCCUUUAUCCAGAUCUGAGCCCAGACAUGGUAUGAUUAGAGAGGACAGGCUAAUGACCCUGGAAUUUCAGUGCCUUAACAGCACAGGUGUAUUUUACAACCCUUCACAGUCCAUUAUGAGAUCAUGGUAGGGGUGGGGAGGACUCUCCUCCACAAAGUUACUCAGGGACCCAGGCUUGCUCCAGCAAGGAGGAAAGAGUAAGGAUAGUUGGCUGCCUAUGAAACUCUCCAGAUUGAAAGAGACCAUUACACAUAUUGUAAAGACCAGAGGAAUUGUUUUCUGCACACCUUGCCUAGGGUAAGUACUCUUCUACAACCUAAAACAAAGUGUAGAAUUUGAUAAGAGCUAAGCCCUGCUUGAAAGUAGAAAAGGGGCUUUCAGAAAUAGAAGAAGGGCUUGGAAACAAGUAUAAAGAGCCAAAAAAGAGGUAUCAUCAACAGGAAGAGGGUGAGGAUGCACCUGUAAGCCACACACAUUGGACAACACAGGUUCUUCACUGCAAGUCUGUGAAGCUCAAUCAAAGAAGCUUUGGUGAAAAAGGUAGCCUGUUCAGGACACAGCAGAAUGUGAUUUUUUGCUUCUAAAGAAAAGGGAAAUUUGGACACAGACCCAGAGAGGACAGUGCCAUGGACACACAGACACAGGGGAGAAUGCCAGACGAAGGCAGAGGCAGAGGCUGGAGGCAAGUAUCUACAAGCUAACGGACAGCAAGGAUUUCCAGCCACCACCAGAAGCUAGGGAAAAAGCCGGCAAUAGAUUCUCUCAGAGCCUCCAGUCAGAACCAAUCAACCUUGGUUUUGGCCCUUUAGCUUGCAGAACUGUAAAAACAAUAAAUUUCUGUCUUAAGCCA
Chlorocebus sabaeus (green monkey) is the source of this 1143-nucleotide long non-coding RNA. RefSeq lists it as uncharacterized. The record is from RefSeq and is a predicted model, not a curated record. NCBI's taxonomy places the organism in Eukaryota, Metazoa, Chordata, Mammalia, Primates, Cercopithecidae.